Molecule: non-coding RNA, 182 nt
Filed under: Deltaproteobacteria bacterium
Lineage: Bacteria; Pseudomonadati; Myxococcota; Myxococcia
Description: 6S RNA
Rfam family: 6S / SsrS RNA
About the family: E. coli 6S RNA was the first non coding RNA to be sequenced, but its function was unknown until recently. It consists of 184 nucleotides that fold into an extended hairpin structure with a large single-stranded internal bulge.
Source: RNAcentral
UGGCCCCUGCCGUGUUUGUGAUUGGAAGAUGUUCUUUGACCCAACAUCCAUUUAAAAGGGAGCCUUCUCUGAUUUUGGUGUGCAGGUUCUGCUUGUACAGAAAAGCCUAAAGAAAUUAAAAGGCACCCACUUUAUUUUUAUGGUUCAAAGACCUCCCGACACGGCAUUGUGGCAGGGGUUCU